This 497-nucleotide ribosomal RNA is filed under the name uncultured bacterium. RNAcentral's name for it is "partial 16S ribosomal RNA". It matches the Rfam family "Bacterial small subunit ribosomal RNA", at positions 28 to 507 of the family's 1533-position model. The record is from RNAcentral.
GAUGAACGCUGGCGGCGUGCCUAAUACAUGCAAGUCGAGCGAACGGACGAGAAGCUUGCUUCUCUGAUGUUAGCGGCGGACGGGUGAGUAACACGUGGAUAACCUACCUAUAAGACUGGGAUAACUUCGGGAAACCGGAGCUAAUACCGGAUAAUAUUUUGAACCGCAUGGUUCAAAAAUGAAAGACGGUCUUGCUGUCACUUAUAGAUGGAUCCGCGCUGCAUUAGCUAGUUGGUAAGGUAACGGCUUACCAAGGCAACGAUGCAUAGCCGACCUGAGAGGGUGAUCGGCCACACUGGAACUGAGACACGGUCCAGACUCCUACGGGAGGCAGCAGUAGGGAAUCUUCCGCAAUGGGCGAAAGCCUGACGGAGCAACGCCGCGUGAGUGAUAAAGGUCUUCGGAUCGUAAAACUCUGUUAUUAGGGAAGAACAUAUGUGUAAGUAACUGUGCACAUCUUGACGGUACCUAAUCAGAAAGCCACGGCUAACUACGUG